CCUACGGGUGGCAGCAGUGGGGAAUAUUGGGCAAUGGGCGCAAGCCUGACCCAGCAACGCCGCGUGAAGGAAGAAGGCUUUCGGGUUGUAAACUUCUUUUAUCAGGGACGAAGCAAGUGACGGUACCUGAUGAAUAAGCCACGGCUAACUACGUGCCAGCAGCCGCGGUAAUACGUAGGUGGCAAGCUUUAUCCGGAUUUACUGGGUGUAAAGGGCGUGUAGGCGGGAAAGCAAGUCAGAUGUGAAAACCAUGGGCUCAACCUGUGGCCUGCAUUUGAAACUGUUUUUCUUGAGUACUGGAGAGGCAGACGGAAUUCCUAGGGUAGCGGUGAAAUGCGGAGAUAUUAGGAGGAACACCAGUGGCGAAGGCGGUCUGCUGGACAGCAACUGACGCUGAGGCGCGAAAGCGUGGGGAGCAAACAGGAUUAGAUACCCGAGUAGUC
RNAcentral lists this ribosomal RNA (443 nucleotides) under uncultured bacterium. RNAcentral describes it as "partial 16S ribosomal RNA". It matches the Rfam family "Bacterial small subunit ribosomal RNA", at positions 338 to 795 of the family's 1533-position model. The record is from RNAcentral.